Molecule: ribosomal RNA, 422 nt
Filed under: uncultured Flavobacteriaceae bacterium
Lineage: Bacteria; Pseudomonadati; Bacteroidota; Flavobacteriia; Flavobacteriales; Flavobacteriaceae
Description: bacterial SSU rRNA
Rfam family: Bacterial small subunit ribosomal RNA
Source: RNAcentral
UGAGGAAUAUUGGACAAUGGGUGAGAGCCUGAUCCAGCCAUCCCGCGUGAAGGACUAAGGACCUAUGGUUCGUAAACUUCUUUUAUAUAGGAAUAAACCUACCCUCGUGAGGGUAGCUGAAGGUACUAUAUGAAUAAGCACCGGCUAACUCCGUGCCAGCAGCCGCGGUAAUACGGAGGGUGCGAGCGUUAUCCGGAUUUAUUGGGUUUAAAGGGUCCGUAGGCGGGCUAAUAAGUCAGUAGUGAAAUCUUGUCGCUUAACGAUAAAACUGCUAUUGAUACUGUUAGUCUUGAGUGUAUUUGAAGUGGCUGGAAUGAGUAGUGUAGCGGUGAAAUGCAUAGAUAUUACUCAGAACACCAAUUGCGAAGGCAGGUCACUAAGAUACAACUGACGCUGAGGGACGAAAGCGUGGGGAGCGAACA